Heterocephalus glaber (naked mole-rat) is the source of this 1217-nucleotide long non-coding RNA. NCBI's taxonomy places the organism in Eukaryota, Metazoa, Chordata, Mammalia, Rodentia, Bathyergidae. The record is from Ensembl.
UCAAGUGGGCUCUGUGAUGCCCACAUCAUGGGACCUCCUACAUGGAGGACAGAAAAACCCGCGGUAGCUAAAACCCCAAGGAAUACCAAGUUUGCAGCUGAAGGUUGCAGCUGGGCCCGGGUGGCCCACUGUUCCCAAGCCACCAUGUGGCCAGCAGGUGGCAGCAGGCACCCGGGCUGAAGCCCACUGGGCAGCGCAAGUCUCAGCCUCUGUCCCCCUGCUGCCCCGUCCUGGGCACCUUGUCUGGGCCCUAGGCCCCUAGAACCAUGUGUGCUGGGCCCAGCUGGCCUGAGGGAGUUCACAAACUUGUACCAUCCUUGAGGUCUGCACGGUUGUGCCAAGUGGCCCCCAGACAGGUGGCCACCAGCUCGGUGGCCCCCACUGCCUGCACUGCCCACACCCCUACCUUGACGACUGGGCAGCCCCUGGCCACUCUAGGUGCUCACCUCCUUCCCUGGGAGGACAUGGAAGGAGUGGGGGAGGCUUGGACCCCUGGACGACCCUUGGCAGCUGGGAACGGGUGGGCACAAGGACAGUGGUGACGGCUGGGCCUGGUGGGCACUGAGGGUGGCAGGAGGGACGGGAGCCAGAGGAGAAGGCACCGUCCCUUUCCUGCCUCCCCCCAGCCCAGGCUGCACCCGGCUGGCUGGGCCAGCGCCUCCUCCUCCCUCACCACUCAGAUUCCAGUGCAAUUCCCAGCUAACCAGCACGUCGAUAGAACAAGUCAGUCACACAGUGCUGGCCAAUUACAGGAAAUCAUUCCGCUCCACCGCUCAGUGCUCACCCUCGGGAGACGGAGGCUGGCAGGAGAAUCCUGCAGCCCUCGGAGAGGGCCCUGGGAUUGUCUGCUCCGGGACCACCUGCCCACUGUCUCCCUGCUGAAUGGUAAUUAGAGUUCAAUCUCCUGUGUGCUUCUGGACCUUGGCUCCCAUCUGUCAGAGGCCGAGCUGGGCCCAGUGACCCUGAGGCCUCUCCACAACGAAGGAACCAUUUGAGGUGGCUCUCCUGUGCCCUGGCCCUCGUGGGGCUGGAGGAUUCUGGCACCAAGCUCUCAGUGGCCGGUGCUAUGGGAGAGAGCCUGUGUGCCGAAGCUGGGACAUCACCCCUACCCGGUGCCAGGCAGAGCAUGAGGGCUGGACUUGGGCAGAGGGCUUUGAGGAAGCUUGAGGAGGCCACCUGCCCAGGGCUUCUGGACGCCUUCCCCUCCCCAGUGACAC